AGAGUUUGAUCCUGGCUCAGGACGAACGCUGACGGUGUGCUUUAGACAUGCAAGUCGAACGAGAAAGCCCUUCGGGGUGAGUACAGUGGCGAACGGGUGAGUAACACGUGGGUAACCUGCCCCUCGCAGGGGGACAACCGGGGGAAACCCCGGCUAAUACCCCGUACGCUCCGAGGUCCGCAUGGGCCACGGAGGAAAGGUAGCUUCGGCCAUCCGGCGAGGGAUGGGCCCGCGGUCCAUUAGCUAGUUGGUGGGGUAACGGCUCACCAAGGCGACGAUGGAUAGCUGGUCUGAGAGGAUGAUCAGCCACACUGGGACUGAGACACGGCCCAGACUCCUACGGGAGGCAGCAGUCGGGAAUCUUGCGCAAUGGGCGAAAGCCUGACGCAGCAACACCGUGUGGGCGACGAAGGCCUUCGGGUCGUAAAGCCCUGUUGUUGGGGACGAAGGGCGAAGGGUUAAUAGCCCCUAGUCUGACGGUACCCUUCGAGGAAGCCCCGGCUAACUACGUGCCAGCAGCCGCGGUAAUACGUAGGGGGCGAGCGUUGUCCGGAAUUAUUGGGCGUAAAGAGCGUGUAGGCGGUUCGGUAAGUCUGCCGUGAAAACCCGGGGCUCAACCCUGGGCGUGCGGUGGAUACUGCCGGGCUAGAGGGUGGUAGAGGCGAGUGGAAUUCCCGGUGUAGCGGUGAAAUGCGCAGAUAUCGGGAGGAACACCAGUAGCGAAGGCGGCUCGCUGGGCCAUUCCUGACGCUGAGACGCGAAAGCUAGGGGAGCGAACAGGAUUAGAUACCCUAGUAGUCC
This 801-nucleotide ribosomal RNA is filed under the name uncultured bacterium. RNAcentral's name for it is "bacterial SSU rRNA". It matches the Rfam family "Bacterial small subunit ribosomal RNA", at positions 8 to 796 of the family's 1533-position model. The record is from RNAcentral.